GAUGAACGCUGGCGGCGUGCCUAAUACAUGCAAGUCGAGCGAACAGACGAGGAGCUUGCUCCUCUGACGUUAGCGGCGGACGGGUGAGUAACACAUGGAUAACCUACCUAUAAGACUGGGAUAACUUCGGGAAACCGGAGCUAAUACCGGAUAAUAUAUUGAACCGCAUGGUUCAAUAGUGAAAGACGGUUUUGCUGUCACUUAUAGAUGGAUCCGCGCCGCAUUAGCUAGUUGGUAAGGUAACGGCUUACCAAGGCAACGAUGCGUAGCCGACCUGAGAGGGUGAUCGGCCACACUGGAACUGAGACACGGUCCAGACUCCUACGGGAGGCAGCAGUAGGGAAUCUUCCGCAAUGGGCGAAAGCCUGACGGAGCAACGCCGCGUGAGUGAUGAAGGUCUUCGGAUCGUAAAACUCUGUUAUUAGGGAAGAACAAAUGUGUAAGUGACUAUGCACGUCUUGACGGUACCUAAUCAGAAAGCCACGGCUAACUACGUG
This 497-nucleotide ribosomal RNA is filed under the name uncultured bacterium. RNAcentral's name for it is "partial 16S ribosomal RNA". It matches the Rfam family "Bacterial small subunit ribosomal RNA", at positions 28 to 507 of the family's 1533-position model. The record is from RNAcentral.